This is a non-coding RNA of Meleagris gallopavo (turkey), 4138 nucleotides long. NCBI's taxonomy places the organism in Eukaryota, Metazoa, Chordata, Aves, Galliformes, Phasianidae. The record is from RefSeq and is a predicted model, not a curated record.
UGGCAGUGGGAAGAAGAAAGGGUCUGCAGCUGAUGGAGGAAGGAAGAGGACAAGGAGGAAUGUAGCAGCCAAGACAAAAUGGAAGAGAUGAGGAAAAGGCUCUGGCUGAGAACAUUGGAAACAAUGUCAAAAUCAACCCUCUUCUGGAUGCUAUGGUCAUGUGCUGCCACUGAUGCCAGUGAAAGAAAGAGGCCACCAGGGGAAGUGGUCUUCACAAUAGAGGGAAUAUACUGUUAGAGCUGAGUGGAGCCAAGCAGCAGCUCACUCUUUACAAAGAGGGCCCAUGGCAUCUCCACCUGAACCCUUCAAAAGUUCACAGCUCAAGUGAAGGCAAAGUCCAUCCAUCCAGUCUGAUAGAAAGCUUUGCUGAGUUCCUUUGGAGGAGUAUGAGAUCCCUUACAUCUAAGCAAGCUGAAGAUCUGCCCAGGUAUGUGAUUUUCUUCUCAUCCAUGUGCUGGCAAAACUUAAUUAGCCAAAUACUGUUGAUUGCAUGUGGGUCAAGAGAAAUGCAGACUGCGGACUAAAUCCCAGCCAUUCAUCUUGAAUUUGAGACUCAUCUGGAGGGCAGAAGUCAUAGAAGUGAUCAUGGCUGCUCCUUGAACCAGUAGCCAUAAUUGCUUCUGCUCUUUCCUCAUUUGCCUUCUGGGCAACAGGCUCAGUGCUGGAAGGUCAGGCAGAGGAUGCUGGAAAGCUGUGGUGCUCCAGCAGCAAAAUUUCCCACACUUUGUUAUGUCCCACAACCUCUUCUGUGUUGUACACUUUUUACCACAAAGGACAAUAUAUGGUGGAUGUAGUGAUAUCCUAGUGCUCUUAUGCUGGUCAGUACAUUUGUGCUGAACAGUGACUGCUUAGAGUUGGGAUAACUGGGAUCAUUUUCAAGUUUGACAUAAAACUGUGAUUACAACUACUUGUGGUAAUUAAAAACCUCUUGUUAUACACUUGUGCCAUGUUUGUACUAUGCUGAUGGAAUCACUGUGACUUUUGUACUGAAUUAUAGCUGGUCCCACAAACAACAUGCUUUUUCCAUGGAAGGUCUGGUUUAAACCCAGUUAACUCCAGUGGUUUUGGAUCAGCCUGAAAGAAACUUCCAAUCUCUGUAGGCAAGAAGUGAAGAACACCAUAUUGCAUUAAUUUUCCACAAAUUGCUUAAUAAGGAAUACAGUUCUACAGUAGUAGGACAAAAGCCUUUCCUUUUGUGGAAAAAGCUACAGGACCACCAAUGAACUCUAUUUUACCACUCAUCAAAAAAUCUAGCACUGCUGUGCCAACCAUAGUAGUACAGCUGCCCUAGGCAAAUAAGCACAUCCAUGUUUACAACUGGCCAGCCUUCUCCCACAGGCUUAUGUAUUGCUUUGGCAAUUCUAAGUAUCAGCAUAUCACAUCCACUGUUCCCAUAAGAGGAGGAAAAGUCACAGCUCAGUUUACAUCUGUAUGUCAUAUCCCUAUGGAUACCUCCAAAAGGCCAUGGAAGGAGCCAAGGAGAAAACAAAGAUCAACUAUUUAUAAUAGAAGAAAGAAACAACUUUCUAAGAAGAAAAACAGCAAGCUCCAUACACCCUUUGGAACUACAAAUAUACCAUCAGGGAAUGACCCCAGAAGACUGAACAAAUGGUAAUGUUAUUGUUAAUGAGUUAGAUCCACAGCAAUUUUCACAGUGUUGAGGAAGAAGAUCAUGGACAUUUUUACUACGUGAGUAUUUGGUCUCUCAGUUGUUAACAGUGCUGAGCUGGAUCAGGUAUAUGGCCAUUGUCAUGGAAAAGAACCAGUCUGAAGAGCUUGAAAUUGAAGCUAUCUAUGCCCUAUAAGGGCAAGCCUGUAUGCAGCUGUUCUGAUGUAAACGGGAUGCUGAAUGAGUACACACUGGUCCUCUAAUAUCCGUGAGGUUGUGGAACUGGGAUACAAGCAGACUAGAAAGGUCAUGAGAAGAAAAAUAAAGCGAAUAUCUGCCUGCAGGUUUUAUUAGCCUGACUUCCUAAGGAAAUAAGUCUUGCAUAACAGCACUACUGUCCUGCCCUCAAAUAACUUUUGAUACUGUUGGCUUACUUCAUCUGAAUCUAACAGAAGUAUCAGCCUCGGAUAUAUUAUUUUCCUCCAGGUUUCAUGAAAGCUGGCAGCUACACAGGGAAAACACAGCUAAAUUAGUCUUCCCAACGAGGGGAGGGUUCCGGUGUGAAUUAAACAAUUACCUGCUCUGUUUUGCCUGCCAGCUGGCCAGCCAACAUGGCCAAACAACUUCAAGCCCAUCGGGGAAUAAUGAAUCAGUCUUAUUUUCACUUGAUGUAGAAGAGGGGGGAAUUUUCACUUGGUGGAAAGGAGUGAAGAGGUAGGUGCAUGGUGCCUGAGGGGAGGUGUGGAAGAAGCAGCAAUAAUUAAGGGGGAAAUAAGUCUGAGGAUACAUGGAGGAGGAGGAGGAAGCAUGGGCUGAAGGGACUCUAGGAACAUUGUGAGCUGGUAAACCGAGACUGUGGGGGUGAGAGAGGGCCACAGUGGAAGGACUGGAAGCUAUUGCAGUGCAGGCUAGUAGGAACGCAGUCUUCUGGAGACCAGGGCCUAAUUAGUGCUGCGGCUUACAGAGUGGCUUGUAUAUACAAAACCUGUCACAAAUACAUUUCUAGCCUACUUUCAGAAAUUAUAAGCAUCCUGAGCUUCUAUGGAUUUUAGCAGGAGCCAUGGGUGCUCAGCAUCACUAACUUUCAGGUCUUGUCUGUAUAAUUUCAGUUGAAUCCACAGCAGUCAUACCUGGCUGCUCUGGAGCAGGAGAAUUAUUAGAUCAUUAUGGUUUCUUAUAUCCAUCAGAGUAAAAGCAGAUCUGCAGGGGCUAUUAAUUUACAUAUGCUAGUAAAAUAAAGAAAAAGAAAUGCACCACAUAAGCUGUCAUCCUAAUUAUUGAAGAUCCAAAGACUGUGUGGUACUGGUGGAUACUCAAUUCUUAUUUCUCUAAUUGUUUUAAACGCACAGAUAUGUAUACUGAAUCAAUUAAAAAUAAAUGCUUCUGCAAAAUCAAUGCUAAGUCAUCCACAGCAAGAUUUAGCAUCCACAGCGGUGUUGAAAGCACUGUGGAAUCAUGAGGGGCAAUUCACACCUAACUGAAGUUUUAUGUUGGUGUAACCUCGCCGACAGAAGCAUAAACUAAAGAACUGAAGAAGUAAACAAAGCUAACAGAGCAAAUGAGCCUAGCAAUAGACCUUCAGAAAGGAAUUUAUCCUCUUAUCAUUUUUAAAAGUCAUCGUCCCCAGAGACAGCUGAUCAAGCCUCCAUAUCAAGAUUUCCAUUGUUAAUUAUUUGCAGCUUCUUUCAGAGACAUUCAAUCCCGUGACUAACCCCACAGCUCUCAAAUGAAGAUGUGCUGGGAAGAAAUCUCUCAGGACUUGGAGACCUUUGUUAGAAAUUUACCAUCAAAGAAGUCUGGACUUUCCCUGUGGUCCUUCCCCCACUCUCUCAGGCUUUGCCUCCUGUGGUUACAACUAAAUGGUUCCUGCCAGAGUGGACUUUUCCCAGGGGGUUGUUUUCUUCUGAUGCACAAAACUGGCUGUCAUCAAAUGACACACACACAUUACCACGUAUUUCACAGCUACUGUCUUAAAAGAUCUGCGCUCAAAUCUGCCUUUUCCUUACAUGCUGAAUGCUGGGUGGUACAGCUCAUUUUAUCUUAAGGAGCAAUAUUUCAUUUUUUAGGAAGUCCUGUUGGGGUCUAGAUUUUUCAAAAGGCUUUGAGGGAUGAAAACUGAGUUGUGAACAGCUCCCUGAGCACCUCUAAUUAUUUUAAUUGUCCCUGCAAUUAAAAGCAGAAGAGCAAUUCUUCUGAUUUAUUCUUCUAUUUAAUUUGCAGGUGAAAAUUUUUUCUAUUGCUGAAUUUUGGAAGUGAUCUACGGCUUGGAUUAGACCUGCCUAGAUUACUUGAUAUGCAGGUUUUACUCUCACAAUCAAAAAGCUUCCAUCUCUGGAAAUUUAAGACAAGCUGUUGUGUUUGUUCUUUGGUUGAAAGCAUUUUUGUUUCCAGUAAGUCUCCCAGUGAUACAGCUCAGCACACAGCACACGAAGCCAGCUAAGCAUGGAAAUGCAUGGGAGCUUUUGACUAAAUAUUCACCACCACACAUCACUGUUUCAAAGUUUCUCCUACCAAGAGAUGUUUUUAAGA